UGCAUAUUCCAAAAAGCGGAGGAAAAGAAACCAACAGGGAUUGCCUCAGUAACGGCGAGUGAAGCGGCAACAGCUCAAAUUUGAAAUCUGGCUCUUUUAGGGUCCGAGUUGUAAUUUGUAGAAGAUGCUUUGGGUGAGGCUCCGGUCUAAGUUCCUUGGAACAGGACGUCAUAGAGGGUGAGAAUCCCGUAUGUGACUGGUUGCCUUCGUCCGUGUAAAGCUCUUUCGACGAGUCGAGUUGUUUGGGAAUGCAGCUCAAAAUGGGUGGUAAAUUUCAUCUAAAGCUAAAUAUUGGCCAGAGACCGAUAGCGCACAAGUAGAGUGAUCGAAAGAUGAAAAGCACUUUGGAAAGAGAGUUAAACAGUACGUGAAAUUGUUGAAAGGGAAGCGCUUGCAACCAGACUUGCACGCGGUUAAUCAUCUGGUGUUCUCACCGGUGCACUUGACCGCGUUCAGGCCAGCAUCGGUUUAGGUGGUGGGAUAAAGGCCUUGGGAAUGUAGCUUCUUUCGGGGAGUGUUAUAGCCCUCGGUGCAAUGCCGCCUACCUGGACCGAGGACCGCGCUCGGCUAGGAUGCUGCGUAAAACCUA
This 589-nucleotide ribosomal RNA is filed under the name Helotiales sp. I12F-02295. RNAcentral's name for it is "eukaryotic LSU rRNA". It matches the Rfam family "Eukaryotic large subunit ribosomal RNA", at positions 37 to 636 of the family's 3401-position model. The record is from RNAcentral. Lineage: Eukaryota; Fungi; Ascomycota; Leotiomycetes; Helotiales.